AUUGAACGCUGGCGGCAUGCUUUACACAUGCAAGUCGAACGGCAGCGGGGGCUUCGGCCCGCCGGCGAGUGGCGAACGGGUGAGUAAUGCAUCGGAACGUACCCAGUCGUGGGGGAUAACGUAUCGAAAGGUACGCUAAUACCGCAUACGUCCUGAGGGAGAAAGCGGGGGACCUUCGGGCCUCGCGCGAUUGGAGCGGCCGAUGUCGGAUUAGCUAGUUGGUGGGGUAAAGGCCUACCAAGGCGACGAUCCGUAGCUGGUCUGAGAGGAUGAUCAGCCACACUGGGACUGAGACACGGCCCAGACUCCUACGGGAGGCAGCAGUGGGGAAUUUUGGACAAUGGGCGCAAGCCUGAUCCAGCCAUGCCGCGUGAGUGAAGAAGGCCUUCGGGUUGUAAAGCUCUUUCGCGAGGGAAGAAAAGGUGCGCUCUAACAUAGCGUACUGAUGACGGUACC
RNAcentral lists this ribosomal RNA (456 nucleotides) under uncultured bacterium. Its description in RNAcentral is "bacterial SSU rRNA". It matches the Rfam family "Bacterial small subunit ribosomal RNA", at positions 29 to 479 of the family's 1533-position model. The record is from RNAcentral.